This 403-nucleotide ribosomal RNA is filed under the name uncultured bacterium. Its description in RNAcentral is "bacterial SSU rRNA". It matches the Rfam family "Bacterial small subunit ribosomal RNA", at positions 355 to 774 of the family's 1533-position model. The record is from RNAcentral.
UAGGGAAUAUUGCAAAAUGGGCGAAAGCCCGAUGCAGCAACGCCGCGUGGGCGAUGAAGGCCUUCGGGUCGUAAAGCCCUUUUUGAGGGGAUGAGGAAGGACAGUACCCUCAGAAUAAGCCUCGGCUAACUACGUGCCAGCAGCCGCGGUAAAACGUAGGAGGCGAGCGUUAUCCGGAUUUACUGGGCGUAAAGCGCGUGCAGGCGGAUUGGAGAGUUGGAUGUGAAAGCUCCCGGCUUAACUGGGAGAGGUCGUUCAAUACUUCCAGUCUUGAGUGCAGUAGAGGGAAGUGGAAUUCCGGGUGUAGUGGUGAAAUGCGUAGAUAUCCGGAGGAACACCAGUGGCGAAAGCGGCUUCCUGGAUUGUAACUGACGCUCAGACGCGAAAGCUAGGGUAGCAAACG